RNAcentral lists this unclassified non-coding RNA (336 nucleotides) under Hevea brasiliensis (rubber tree). The record is from RNAcentral. Lineage: Eukaryota; Viridiplantae; Streptophyta; Magnoliopsida; Malpighiales; Euphorbiaceae.
GGAAGAUGCUCAAUCACCGAUGACACGACCAGAUACAGUAAAUGAUACUAGGUUUCUUGCUGGAGGAGGUCAUGUUGUUUCUGCUAUACCAAGUGAAGAACUUGAUCUCGAUGUAGAAGAGUUCAAUAUUCCAUGGAAUGAUCUGGUUCUAAUGGAGAAAAUUGGGGCAGGGUCUUUUGGUACUGUUCACCGUGCUGAUUGGAAUGGUUCUGAUGUUGCUGUGAAGAUACUCAUGGAACAAGAUUUUCAUGCAGAGCGAUUCAAGGAAUUUUUGCGGGAGGUUGCAAUUAUGAAGCGGUUGCGACACCCAAAUAUUGUGCUUUUUAUGGGUGCAGU